UACGGGGGGGGCAAGCGUUGUUCGGAAUUACUGGGCGUAAAGGGCUCGUAGGCGGCCAACUAAGUCCGACGUGAAAUCCCCAGGCUUAACCUGGGAACUGCGUCGGAUACUGGAUGGCUUGAAUUCGGGAGAGGGAUGCAGAAUUCCAGGUGUAGCGGUGAAAUGCGUAGAUAUUGGGAAGAACACCGGUGGCGAAGGCGGCCAUCUGGACCGCAACUGACGCUGAGGCGCGAAAGCGUGGGGAGCAAACAGG
RNAcentral lists this ribosomal RNA (253 nucleotides) under uncultured bacterium. Its description in RNAcentral is "partial 16S ribosomal RNA". It matches the Rfam family "Bacterial small subunit ribosomal RNA", at positions 524 to 776 of the family's 1533-position model. The record is from RNAcentral.